GCUGUGCCUGUGGGGACUGCUCCUUAUCAGCACACCUGCUGAGUGCAUUGCAAAAGCAGCCCCUGGUCACCUGUGCCUUUGGGUAGCUGGGGGUUUUUCAGGGAUGUUGCUGUUACCCUUUUUUACCACCUGGCAAAGCAGGAGGGAAGGGAGCACGAGGUUCAGGCUGCCAUAAGAAUGGGACCCAGUGCACUUUCCUCCAGAUCUGCUCUGUGUGCAUCCAGCAGCUGACCCUACACAUGUUUAUCCAAGUGACUGGAGCUGUGCCAGUCUCUCUGCUUUCAGCCUUUGACUUCCCACGAACUGCUGACCCAUCAUGUGACAGCCGUGGUGGGGCCAGUGCUGCGAGAUGUGGUAUCGGCGCUUAUCACCCCUGCUCGGGGGGAAGGGCCCCCAGCUGCCCCGGAGCCUGGCUGUGCUGGGGCACCAGCAGCACCAGCUCCGGCCUCGGGGAGUGGGCAAACCCCAUGUGUGUCAGAGAGAGGGCUUAUGUACCAGCAGACCCCAUCCCUUACAGAGAGAUGCUUCCCUGCUCCCCUGGAGCAACUGCUUCAUGCCCACCCGGCCUUCAGAGCCCUGCACAGGACAUUUUGUGGGCUGCCAGACCUGGGCUCCUGUUUAACCAGUCCCUCUGCCCAGUGGGAGGUUUUUGCUUGCUCCCCCAGCACAUGACUUACAGGGUGGCUCCAAACUGCUCUCGGUCUUCCUGGGCUGGAGCCUGUUUACAAAACAGUGGCUGAAAGCUGCUAUUUAUCCUUACAUACACAUUGCAUUCAGAGUUGCUAAAUAGGCAAGCCCAAAAUGAAAGUCAUCUGGGUUUUCUUUAAUUAGAAUAAAAUCCUGAUGAAUCAGGAGGUUCUGUACCUCAAGGAUGCACCAGGAAUUGACUUUGGCUGCAGACAGCAAGGUACAGCAGUCAGCAGAGCCGGCUCGCUGCCUUGACAUCUGCUGGAAAGACUUGUUUUUCCCUCCCGAGUCACAUGCUAGCUUGUGAUCUGAUCAUGGGAUACAAAGGAUAACCUUCCAAUAUUUGCUCUUCUCAUCUGCAAUUUCAAAAGGCAGGGGAAAAGAGCAAAAAGCAGCAUAAGAGAGGAAAGCACAAGCCCCCUUUCCUCACUUGAUUAGUGUUGCUGUAGGUGCUGUGCUUGUUGCUGGGACAUGGCAGGAGUCUGGCUGCAAUGCCAUGGGCUGUGCUUGUGCCUGUUGUGGCCCUG
Long non-coding RNA from Passer domesticus (house sparrow), 1214 nucleotides. RefSeq lists it as uncharacterized. NCBI's taxonomy places the organism in Eukaryota, Metazoa, Chordata, Aves, Passeriformes, Passeridae. The record is from RefSeq and is a predicted model, not a curated record. The transcript is spliced from 3 exons.